CACCCACCUCGUCCUCCCAAAGUGCUGGGAUUACAGAGUCACGUCUCUGUCUGCAUUUCAUCUUCUCUUUCCCAACAACUUUCAAGAACUGUGAAGGGUCUGAUUUGACUCAACGUCCAAGCUACCAUGUUGGUCUUCGAGGAGGCACAAGAGCCUUGGAUCAGAGACAAAAAUCUCGGUUACUCACAGCAGAGAAAUCAGUAUGAGCUUUCCUUGUGCCUGAGUUCCCCUUACUAUCCAAAUCCCAGGGGGAUGAUUUACACAGAUCCAGCAUCCUCCCAGGCCCCUGGGCUCACAACACUAACAGUGUGCCGGCUGGCAAGGAAGUCUCAGCGCAUGCAACACCAUAAUCCCACAGCGGGCAACGGGAGGCAGACUGGGGGCUGAGAACAAUAAAUUAACAGUGAGUACUGCCGCCGUGACAAGUGCAGCUGCCUCCUGCCUUUCCUUCUUUCCUUCAGUCAAAAUGAAGGCAACAUUUGGAUAGUGUGUGCUCAUGUCUUCUGUGUUUUUUUUCUGUCAUAUGGGCUCCUUGACCUUGACAUUGUUUUCUAAGUAUUCUCUCCAAACUCAUUAUUAUUUUGUAACUAACUUUGUUAUCUCCUCACUAAAUGCAUCCCAUUGAACAAUUACAUUUUAAACUCUAACAAGUGUCUCAGGGGCCCCUGUGGUCUGGACCUGCCCAUCUCG
Molecule: long non-coding RNA, 690 nt
Filed under: Homo sapiens (human)
Lineage: Eukaryota; Metazoa; Chordata; Mammalia; Primates; Hominidae
Description: HSALNT0344699
Source: RNAcentral